Molecule: transfer RNA, 63 nt
Filed under: Cavia porcellus (domestic guinea pig)
Lineage: Eukaryota; Metazoa; Chordata; Mammalia; Rodentia; Caviidae
Rfam family: tRNA
About the family: Transfer RNA (tRNA) molecules are approximately 80 nucleotides in length. Their secondary structure includes four short double-helical elements and three loops (D, anti-codon, and T loops). Further hydrogen bonds mediate the characteristic L-shaped molecular structure. tRNAs have two regions of fundamental functional importance: the anti-codon, which is responsible for specific mRNA codon recognition, and the 3' end, to which the tRNAs corresponding amino acid is attached (by aminoacyl-tRNA synthetases). tRNAs cope with the degeneracy of the genetic code in two manners: having more than one tRNA (with a specific anti-codon) for a particular amino acid; and 'wobble' base-pairing, i.e. permitting non-standard base-pairing at the 3rd anti-codon position.
Source: Rfam by way of RNAcentral
GGGGAUUUGGCUUAUGGUGUAAGCACCUGCCUGGCAAGCAUGAGGUUGUGAGUUCGAUCCCCA